This 2137-nucleotide long non-coding RNA is filed under the name Nicotiana benthamiana. RNAcentral describes it as "long non-coding RNA (NBEN_LNC019090)". The record is from RNAcentral. Lineage: Eukaryota; Viridiplantae; Streptophyta; Magnoliopsida; Solanales; Solanaceae.
UCACACAAAACGACCAACUCCAUACACAACAAACAACCACCGAAAAACCAGCGACUCUCACCAGCUUCUUAGUCGUUAUCAGCAUUCAUCAGACCACCUUUCUCGCCGCAAACUAGCACCAAUGUACGCCAAGUCAGCUUUAGAAAACUCAGUUGAAACGCAGCAUAUUUCAGCCCCAAAACUCGCCAAAAACUAGUCAAACCGCAACAAUAGCCUCCUCAGAAAUAGCCCUUGAAUCUCAGCUAAAAUCUGCUGUAACAGUGCCCAAAACACCAUCACAAAUUUGAGUUAAGUUGAGGAGAAGUCCGGUUUCAAAUCCGAGUUCCGAUCAUUCCAGACCGUUUGAUUCAACUUUACAUUGCGAACUGAGGUUUAUUUCUUCUCUCUGCUAUUUUGCUUAGUAUUAGGCUUGUAUUGUGUCAUAAUUCUGUUGUUGCUCUGUUUUGCUGAAGGCUUUCGUUUCACUACUCUCUGUUGAUGACUUGAUGCUGCAUUUUUUUUUGUUAAUUGAUUUGCUUAUAGUCUGAAUGGUUAGAUAAGUUGAAUUGCUCAUUUCAAUUAUUCAUUAAGAUAUGGAUGUUUAAGGUUUUGAGUAACAUUUUGGUAAUUCUAGAGUUAAAUUAAUUUGUUAAUUGAAUUGGGUGAUGAGAUAAAUAGAAAAACAAGUAUAUGACUAGGGAUUGGAUUGAAACUUAAAAGUUAAUUGCAAUAUUUUUGCUGCUCUUUUAAUAAAUUGAAUUGGUAGGAGAGCACACUUAGGUAGAAAAACCUUAAAAUUCUUUCUAGUUUCGAGGCGAGAGGUCGUUUCCGUAGUAAAUUUAUUUUGAGAUGCUCCGUGGAGUUUGUAUAUAUUAUUAUCCGGGGUAUGCCCCGAAGAACUAUGUAAAUAUUUUGGAGGCCUUGGCGAGCAUGGUGGAGAAGUCAUGGUAGGUUAGCUUAGGAUUUUUCUUUUCAUUUCCUUUUCAUUUUCUUUUAUUUAGGUGGGGACGACCUCGAGCCUCUGGUGUGUUCACUUUAUUUCUGUGUGUUUUACCUCAAUUUGAAUGUUCUAAAAGCCAACUUGAUCAUGUACGCAACCAUGACUUUUGCGAGACUUGGGGAGUGCCUAACACCUUCUCCCCAAGUCAAAUGAACCUCCUUACCCAAAUCUCUGGUUUAGACUUACUUUUAGAGUCUGAAAUAUUUCAAAAGGAAAGAUCAUUUUUAUAAAUAUGGUGACCUGGCACACCGAAAUCAAAGUCAGGUGGCGACUCUAAGUUUAUUUCUUUUUGAACAACAAUUUUGUCACUUUUCAAAUGGAAAAUCCUUUUCGAGCUUUACUAAAUCUUUUUUUAUUUAAGAGGGUUUAGUGUGAGGCUUGGUUAAAAAUGGGUGUGACAUCUCUGACGACUCUGCUUGGGAAUUUGCAGGUUCGAGCUAGUACUUGGUCUGGUUGGCUUUUAGGAUAUUAGGUUGAGGUUUUUAUUAGUUUGUUUGCUUUAUUUGAUUCUUAUUUUUUAUGCCUUUUAUUAUUUUCUAGCUACUUGUUUGUUAAUAGUUUUUGUUUUAUGUAUUUACUGCUUUAUAACUGUCAUCAUUUGCAUAACCCUGAGUCUUCUUUCUGUAACAAGUCUUCUGAAGUACGUUUGAGUGUACACAGCAUUUUUAUGAGUCAUCCGUGUCUUUAUGGGAUGGCGUGGGAGCGUGGAGUGGGCGGACAGCUAAAGCAGCCGCCAUAGACCACGAUCCGCCCUGAAUUGCCUUGUCUAGUGAACCCCAAUCGUAGGUCAGCCUUUAGGUCAUACAUAUGUGCAUCAUAUCAUUUAAACCUAGCAGUGUUCGGUCUCAGGCACCGUAUCCCGUCGUAGGAGACAUAUCCAAAUUAUGUCAAAAAUGGGUUUAUGGCCCAAAAAAGACAUUCAAUCAUUCUUAUGUGAUACAUGUUGCACCUAUUCAUGCGCAGCUUUUACUAGGGCAUGAUGUUGAACUUUCGACAUCGUUGAAGCAAGUCCCUGUUCAUUAGGAUGGACGAUAAGGAUAGUCAACACCUUUGGCUCGACUUCCUUUUUUUCAAGACCGGGCCCAUCGUGGCAAAUGUCAUAAACUUUCCCCAAGAUUGGAACCGUACUUGUAAGUAUUUGUACUCAUCUUUUCUUAU